UGUAAUUUGACAUUCGAAAUUAAUUAUAGCCGAAAAAAAGGCGAAGCACCAAACCUGUUUCUGAGGUUAAAGGUUGGCAAAUUUUCAGUGCAAUAAGGAAAAUGCUGGGGACAGUGGACACAAAAGCUUACGGAAUAAUAAUGGAGGACUGCAGAUACAUAUCCCAUGUCAACAUUAAUUAGGGUCCGGUAUUAUUCGCAUCUAAUGCCGUGCCACAUUGUCCAGGGUCCAGAUAAACAUAUGACUCCAAAACAGGUCACUUUGGGGACAGAGCAAUUAAGAUGUUUAGCGUUCGGAAUAUUUUUCGUAAAUGGAAGGAGACAAAGGGUUUUGUUAUGCCAAUCAACUAGGAGGAAUUUGUUUUGACAGCCUUUUUUUUGUCUCCAUCCCAUUCUUGCACAGCCAUUCAUAAUUUAAGCCGAUUUAAAAAGUGGCGCCAGUUAAGUCGACCGUGGGCGUUCAGACGACACAGGAGUGGGCGUGGCACUGGCUUGCAUCACGGCUCACAAAC
This is a long non-coding RNA of Drosophila teissieri, 511 nucleotides long. RefSeq lists it as uncharacterized. The record is from RefSeq and is a predicted model, not a curated record. NCBI's taxonomy places the organism in Eukaryota, Metazoa, Arthropoda, Insecta, Diptera, Drosophilidae. The transcript has 3 exons.